UACAGAGGGGGCAAGCGUUGUUCGGAAUUACUGGGCGUAAAGGGCGCGUAGGCGGCCCGCUAAGUCGAACGUGAAAUCCCCAGGCUCAACCUGGGAACUGCGUCCGAUACUGGCAGGCUUGAAUCCGGGAGAGGGAUGUGGAAUUCCAGGUGUAGCGGUGAAAUGCGUAGAUAUCUGGAGGAACACCGGUGGCGAAGGCGACAUCCUGGACCGGUAUUGACGCUGAGGCGCGAAAGCCAGGGGAGCAAACGGG
RNAcentral lists this ribosomal RNA (253 nucleotides) under uncultured bacterium. RNAcentral's name for it is "partial 16S ribosomal RNA". It matches the Rfam family "Bacterial small subunit ribosomal RNA", at positions 524 to 776 of the family's 1533-position model. The record is from RNAcentral.